This 333-nucleotide ribosomal RNA is filed under the name uncultured bacterium. RNAcentral's name for it is "bacterial SSU rRNA". It matches the Rfam family "Bacterial small subunit ribosomal RNA", at positions 568 to 898 of the family's 1533-position model. The record is from RNAcentral.
CGUGUAGGCGGCCCGACAAGUCCGCUGUGAAAGUCCAGGGCUCAACCCUGGAAUGCCGGUGGAUACUGUCGGGCUAGAGUCCGGAAGGGGCGAGUGGAAUUCCUGGUGUAGCGGUGAAAUGCGCAGAUAUCAGGAGGAACACCAAUGGCGAAGGCAGCUCGCUGGGACGUGACUGACGCUGAGACGCGAAAGCGUGGGGAGCAAACAGGAUUAGAUACCCUGGUAGUCCACGCUGUAAACGAUGGGCACUAGGUGUGGGGGGGUGUCGACUCCCCCUGUGCCGAAGCUAACGCAUUAAGUGCCCCGCCUGGGGAGUACGGCCGCAAGGCUAAA